UGGGGAAUAUUGCACAAUGGGGGAAACCCUGAUGCAGCGACGCCGCGUGAGCGAAGAAGUAUUUCGGUAUGUAAAGCUCUAUCAGCAGGGAAGAAAAUGACGGUACCUGACUAAGAAGCACCGGCUAAAUACGUGCCAGCAGCCGCGGUAAUACGUAUGGUGCAAGCGUUAUCCGGAUUUACUGGGUGUAAAGGGAGCGUAGACGGCUGUGUAAGUCUGAAGUGAAAGCCCGGGGCUCAACCCCGGGACUGCUUUGGAAACUAUGCAGCUAGAGUGUCGGAGAGGUAAGUGGAAUUCCCAGUGUAGCGGUGAAAUGCGUAGAUAUUA
Molecule: ribosomal RNA, 327 nt
Filed under: uncultured Coprococcus sp.
Lineage: Bacteria; Bacillati; Bacillota; Clostridia; Lachnospirales; Lachnospiraceae
Description: bacterial SSU rRNA
Rfam family: Bacterial small subunit ribosomal RNA
Source: RNAcentral